GCCCCAGUAGCUCAGUGGAUAGAGCAGCGGUUUCCUAAACCGUUGGUCGGAUGUUCGACUCAUCUCUGGGGCGCCA
Molecule: transfer RNA, 76 nt
Filed under: Candidatus Cloacimonadota bacterium
Lineage: Bacteria; Pseudomonadati; Candidatus Cloacimonadota
Also listed under: 1 other name
Description: tRNA-Arg
Rfam family: tRNA
About the family: Transfer RNA (tRNA) molecules are approximately 80 nucleotides in length. Their secondary structure includes four short double-helical elements and three loops (D, anti-codon, and T loops).
Source: RNAcentral